UUGGAGGGCAAGUUGGUGCCAGCGGCCGCGGUAAUUCCAGCUCCAAUAGCGUAUAUUAAAGUUGUUGCAGUUAAAAAGCUCGUAGUUGAAUUUCGGGAUCAGUACGCUGGUCGUGCCUUUGGUAUGCACUGGUGUCACUGGCUUCUCCCUUCUGAAGAUCCGUGAUGUCAUUAAUGUGGUGUCGCGGGGAAUCAGGACUGUUACUUUGAAAAAAUUAGAGUGUUUAAAGCAGGC
RNAcentral lists this ribosomal RNA (234 nucleotides) under uncultured Glomus. Its description in RNAcentral is "partial 18S ribosomal RNA". It matches the Rfam family "Eukaryotic small subunit ribosomal RNA", at positions 548 to 785 of the family's 1831-position model. Lineage: Eukaryota; Fungi; Glomeromycota; Glomeromycetes; Glomerales; Glomeraceae. The record is from RNAcentral.